GGAGGGUGCAAGCGUUGUUCGGAAUUAUUGGGCGUAAAGAGCGUGUAGGCGGUCCGGUAAGUCAGAUGUGAAAGCCCUGGGCUCAACCCAGGAAGUGCAUUUGAAACUACCAGACUUGAGUACGGGAGAGGAGGGGGGAAUUCCCGGUGUAGAGGUGAAAUUCGUAGAUAUCGGGAGGAAUACCAGUGGCGAAGGCGCCCUCUGGACCGAUACUGACGCUGAGACGCGAAAGCGUGGGGAGCAAACAGGAUUAGAUACCCUGGUAGUCCACGCCGUAAACGAUGAGCACUAGGUGUAGCGGGUAUUGACCCCCCUGCUGUGCCCGUAGCUAACGCAUUAAGUGCUCCGCCUGAGGACUACGGUCGCAAGACUG
RNAcentral lists this ribosomal RNA (373 nucleotides) under uncultured organism. RNAcentral describes it as "partial 16S ribosomal RNA". It matches the Rfam family "Bacterial small subunit ribosomal RNA", at positions 527 to 896 of the family's 1533-position model. The record is from RNAcentral.